ACAACCGAAGUUCUGAAGUCCCGGGCGCAUAGCGGGCUCGGAGCACUUGCAGUCUGCGCGCUCGCUCGGAGGAGCUGCCGCUGUUCGCUGUUCCUGAGCUCAGACCAGCAGACCAGGGCGCGCCCUGCUUUCCUCCUUCCCUCCGUUGCUGGCAGAUCUGUGCACCUUACGGAGGCUGAAUGACGGGCCCUUGUCGGGCCAGCAGUUGCUUGGGACUCUCAGGGAGCUGAGCCCCUGCCAAGAAGAGAUUGGCAGCGGGGCAUUCUCAGUCAAGGCUUGCGGACCUCCUGGGACGGCCCCGCCCCCCGGGGGGGACACUUGGGGGGCCAUGUCCGCCAACUUGAGCCACACCUUUCUGAACACCACCGCUCAGAAGAGUGAAGCGUGGGUGGUGGGCUUGGGCAUUGUCAUGUCCAUCAUAGUCCUGGCCACUGUCUUUGGCAACGUGCUGGUCAUCACAGCCAUCGCCAGGUUCCAGCGUUUGCAGACUGUCACUAACUACUUCAUCACAUCACUGGCUUGUGCUGACCUGGUUAUGGGGCUGGCCGUGGUGCCCUUUGGUGCCAGUCACAUCCUCAUGGAAAUGUGGACCUUCGGGAACUUUUGGUGUGAGUUCUGGACCUCCAUUGAUGUUCUGUGUGUCACAGCCAGCAUCGAGACCCUCUGUGUUAUUGCUGUGGACCGCUACUUCGCCAUCACAGCACCCUUUCGGUACCAGAGUCUGCUUACCAAGAGCAAGGCCAGGGUGGUCAUCUUAGUGGUCUGGGUGGUAUCGGCCCUCACUUCCUUCCUGCCCAUUCAGAUGCACUGGUAUCGUGCCAGCCACAAGGAAGCUCUCUUGUGCUACGAGGAGGAGACCUGCUGUGACUUCUUCACUAACCAGGCUUAUGCCAUUGCUUCCUCUAUCGUGUCCUUUUACGUGCCUCUAGUGAUCAUGGUGUUUGUGUACUCCCGGGUUUUCCAGGUGGCCAAGAAGCAACUUCAGAAGAUUGAUAAAUCUGAGGGCCGCUUUCAUGUCCAGAACAGCAGCCAGAUGGAGCAGAAUGGAAGGACAAGUCACCGAAGGUCUUCCAAGUUCUGUUUGAAGGAACAUAAAGCUCUGAAGACUUUGGGUAUAAUCAUGGGGACUUUUACCCUCUGUUGGCUGCCUUUCUUCAUUGUCAACAUUGUCCAUGCAAUACAGGACAACACUGUCCCCAAAUAUGUGUACAUUUUUCUGAACUGGGUGGGCUACUCCAACUCAGCCUUCAAUCCGCUGAUCUACUGUCGGAGUCCCGACUUCAGGUAUGCCUUUCAGGAGCUCCUCUGUUUCAGGAGGUCAGCCCUGAAGCUCUAUGGCAAUGGCCACUCCAGCAACAGCAACGGGAGGAGCGAGCCCAAUGGGGAGCAUGGGAGCUAUCCCACUGAACAGGAGAAGGAGAUGGAGCUGCUGUAUGAAGACCUCCCAGGCACUGAGGGCUUUUUGAACUGUACAGGUACUGUGCCUAACGCUAGCGCCGGCUUAGAGAGCCAGGAUCAGACUCUGGAUGAUACCCCCUUGUGACUGUCUCUCUGGUUGGUAAAAACCCUCAGCAAACCGAGCAAGGUGGGGAAAAAGAAAGAAACAAUUUUUUAAAGAACAACAACCAAAAAAAAAAUCCAGCAAAAACAACUCAUCACAAACCCCCAAACACUAAGCCUACUCUAACUCAUGAGCUAGAAAUGUCUAGUCAGCCUAUAGAGAGAUGGGCAGGAGGGAGAAGGACAGUUUUAGGUUAUUUAUUGUUUUUAAAUUAUCAGGAAACAGAACAACUAACCCCCCACCCCGGUUCUAGGGAUUCCUCACUUCUGUAACGGUUGGGUUCUGCCUGGAAUGGAGUUUGAAGUGUAUGUCCACUUCCAGGGUCUCAGGCCUUGAGGACCUGGAUCUAGUUUGGAUGGCUUUCUCAUAGACCUACCUCAUUUGUCAAGUAUUAGGUUUAGCAUACUUCUACUUGGGACAUCUCUCUGGAGGGGCAGGCCUUCCCCCAGGGCCUUGUGGAUGCUCCAGCUGGACCUGGCUGUCAAUGGAUUUGUCUCCUCCUCUUAUUUGCUCACAUGGGCAGUUGGAGGCAGGGACACAGAGGGGGCAGCUUCUGCUGUUGAAUGAGCAAAGUCUAAAGUUUACAGUAAAUAAAUUGUUUUGCUAUGACAUCACUGCACCUGUUUGUCCCAAUCCCCCAGCGGAACAUUCUUGUUGGAAACCACAGGUAACUGUUUGUAAUAGCUGUCCGAUGACUUAAUGGUGAAUUAAUAGCAGUAAUAAGAAGACACAUUUCUGUGGUGUUUGCCAGUUCUUCCUAGUGCUAUCCCCCACAGCUUUGUGAGGAGGUGAAAGAAAGGACUUGCCUACAGUCAUACGGCUACAAAGUGUAGAUGGGGUCUUGAACCCAGGGCUGUUCCUCUAGCUCUAGUCUUCCUUUUUUCAUAUCACACUUCUUGGAAUUACAUUUGCACAUAGCUUAAAUCUGUUGGCGUUGAAUGUUAUAAUAAACACAUCUCAAGUGACCCUUCUACCUUAAGGCAAGCUCCUCUGAUUUGCUGAAGUAUGUUGCUCAUUAGUGUACCUAUUUAUAUAUUAUUGAUAUGUAAAUCUAUUUAAUAAGUAUUAAAUAAUAAAAGUGUUAUUUAUUAUUAAUGGGAAACUGUCAAUUUCCCAUUAGUUAUUUAUUCCAAAAUUUUUCGUGGGACGAUGGUGGUACGAUGGAAAGAGGGAGGAAAAGUCCAGCUGGGUUCAAGUGCCCGCAGACUCUUACUACCCACACGACCUUGGUGAAAUCAUUUAACCCCUGUAAAAACCUCAUCUGUAAAGAGAAGAGGCUGGAUUGGCUGGCCUCUGGCGUCCCUUCCAGCUCUGGGUUUAGUAUCCUACAAUCAAGUAAAAACUUCAAUUCAACGAUAAUCAAAACUCACAGGUCCCAUUUACAUAGCACUUCAGAAUGACAGCGCUCUUUACAGACACAUCACCUCACUUAAUCCCCUACCAUGUUUUCAUGUGGAUGGUAGCACAUCCCCAUUUGCCUAAUGAAAAAACUGAGGCCCCGAGAGGGGAAGUCGUUUCUUCGAGUCUCACAGCUAGUAAAGCCUCGGAGCUGAGAUUCAGACUGAACGCUCUGUACUCUAAAUGCAGCCCUCUUCCUGUUGCACCACAAACUGCCUCCUGGUAGACUUUCUGCGUGCUGUUUACCUCAGAAAGAGUGACUCAUGGACAUGAAGUGAUGGACAGCCAUCUCCCUGCCUGCUGUUUAUGGCAGCCUGCCAAAUGUAUACCCUCACUCUGCCUUUCCUUGGGAAUCUCUGAACCUACUGAGGCUGGAUGGUUAGAAAAGAAAGAGGACUCAGCUGUGUGGUCUGAGAAUGCUGCCUCCCCCCAACCCCAAAUGACAGUCUCUCUCAUUCCCACCAGAAUGCCGAGGACCAGGAGUGAGCUGGUGGCCAGAGGCCCCGGAUCAUCCUAGGACAGUUGAAAGCUGAGUGGGCUAUAUUUUCUCCUAUUUUCCUGGGAGAACAAGCAUUGGCCUGGGGACUGCUACCUUGUUGUGCUGCCUGCCUCCAAGUCUUUGUCUAACAGUGACCUUUCUGCCACUGGAAAGGUGACAGAGGAGCUCAAGAUCUGAAGGCAAAGGAGCAGUGAGCCAUGGAAGUAGAUAAUCUGGAAGGAACAUAGCUGAUCAAGAGCUGGGAGAUGAGGGCAACCCAGGAAACUGCAAUCUGCUGCAGCCAGAGAUCUCCAAACACCAAAGUCUCUAGGAUGGAGAAGAGGGUUAGCGUGGGCUUCCCUGUCCCACCUAACCCGAGGACAGUGACACAACGCUUUGACACUCCAGGGAUUUUAUUUCUUUAUUAUUAACAAGUUCAUGGGAGUCAGCUUGAACUGGCCUCAUAAUGGGACCCAGGGGACAACAGGACCCAGAUGGGCUGUGUUGUCAAGUUUGAAAAAAAUAAUAAUCGUUUUAACAUAAAUGGAAGAAACACUGAAACAGCUUAA
Phascolarctos cinereus (koala) is the source of this 4006-nucleotide RNA transcript. It is a transcript of the gene named adrenoceptor beta 2, with no coding region annotated. The record is from RefSeq and is a predicted model, not a curated record. Lineage: Eukaryota; Metazoa; Chordata; Mammalia; Diprotodontia; Phascolarctidae.